RNAcentral lists this long non-coding RNA (267 nucleotides) under Gossypium raimondii (Peruvian cotton). RNAcentral describes it as "long non-coding RNA (GRAI_LNC009533)". Lineage: Eukaryota; Viridiplantae; Streptophyta; Magnoliopsida; Malvales; Malvaceae. The record is from RNAcentral.
UCGGGUUUGGGGAAAUCUGGAUUAGGGGAAAUUUUAGGGAUUUGGGGGAGAAUAGGAUUUUGGGGGAUAAGUCACGAUAGUUGGGGAUUUGGGGGAGAAUGGGAAUUUUGGGAUAAGUUUCGGUAAUAUGUAUGAGAAAAAAACGACGACGUUUUUUUAUGAAAAUGAAAUCAUUUGCGGCACUUAUAAAUAAGCGCCACUAAUAUCAGUACAAACGCAGCCGUUUUACACACAUUAAGCUAAAACUUGUGGCGCUUAGAGCAAAAA